UGGGGAAUCUUGGACAAUGGGCGCAAGCCUGAUCCAGCCAUGCCGCGUGAGUGAAGAAGGCCUUCGGGUUGUAAAGCUCUUUUACCAGGGACGAUAAUGACGGUACCUGGAGAAUAAGCCCCGGCAAACUUCGUGCCAGCAGCCGCGGUAAUACGAAGGGGGCUAGCGUUGUUCGGAAUUACUGGGCGUAAAGCGCACGUAGGCGGAUUGUUAAGUCAGAGGUGAAAUCCCGGAGCUCAACUUCGGAACUGCCUUUGAUACUGGCAAUCUAGAGUCCGGAAGAGGUUAGUGGAAUUCCCAGUGUAGAGGUGAAAUUCGUAGAUAUUGGGAAGAACACCAGUGGCGAAGGCGGCUAACUGGUCCGGUACUGACGCUGAGGUGCGAAAGCGUGGGGAGCAAACAGGAUUAGAUACCCCAGUAGUCCCUGAG
This 429-nucleotide ribosomal RNA is filed under the name uncultured bacterium. RNAcentral describes it as "bacterial SSU rRNA". It matches the Rfam family "Bacterial small subunit ribosomal RNA", at positions 355 to 801 of the family's 1533-position model. The record is from RNAcentral.